GGCUCAGAAUGAACGUUGGCGGCGUGGAUUAGGCAUGCAAGUCGAGCGAGAACCCCGCAAGGGGGGACAGCGGCGCAAGGGACAGUAAUGUGUAGAUUAUCUGCCCUCAGGUCCGGGAUAGCUGCGGGAAACUGCAGGUAAUACCGGAUAACAUCUCCGGAUCAAAGGUGUGAUUCCGCCUGAGGAUGAGUCUGCAUCCUAUUAGCUAGUUGGCAGGGUAACGGCCUACCAAGGCAUUGAUGGGUAGCGGGUGUGAGAGCACGACCCGCGUCAUUGGGACUGAGACACUGCCCAGACACCUACGGGUGGCUGCAGUCGAGAAUCUUCGGCAAUGGGCGCAAGCCUGACCGAGCGACGCCGCGUGUGGGAUGAAGGCCUUCGGGUUGUAAACCACUGUCAGAGGGGAUGAAAUGCAGGUGGGUUCUCCCAUCUGUUUGACAUAGCCUCAGAGGAAGGACGGGCUAAGUUCGUGCCAGCAGCCGCGGUAAGACGAACCGUCCAAACGUUAUUCGGAAUUACUGGGCUUAAAGGGUGCGUAGGCGGCGCGGAAAGUUGGGUGUGAAAUCCCUCGGCUCAACCGAGGAACUGCGCCCAAUACUACCGUGCUUGAGGGAGAUAGAGGUGAGCGGAACUUAGGGUGGAGCGGUGAAAUGCGUUGAUAUCCUAAGGAACACCGGUGGCGAAAGCGGCUCACUGGAUCUCUUCUGACGCUGAGGCACGAAAGCUAGGGUAGCGAACGGGAUUAGAUACCCCGGUAGUCCUAGCCGUAAACGAUGAGCACUGGAUUGGAGGGUCCUCCAUAGCCUUCCAGUCGCAACGAAAGCGUUAAGUGCUCCGCCUGGGGAGUAUGGUCGCAAGGCUGAAACU
Molecule: ribosomal RNA, 867 nt
Filed under: uncultured bacterium
Lineage: Bacteria
Description: bacterial SSU rRNA
Rfam family: Bacterial small subunit ribosomal RNA
Source: RNAcentral